This 407-nucleotide ribosomal RNA is filed under the name uncultured bacterium. RNAcentral describes it as "bacterial SSU rRNA". It matches the Rfam family "Bacterial small subunit ribosomal RNA", at positions 1093 to 1506 of the family's 1533-position model. The record is from RNAcentral.
CGAGCGCAACCCUUGUGAAUAGUUGCUACGAAAGAGCACUCUAUUCAGACCGCCGUUGACAAAACGGAGGAAGGUGGGGAUGACGUCAAAUCAUCAUGCCCCUUAUGACCUGGGCUACACACGUACUACAAUGGUCGUUAACAGAGGGAAGCAAGGCCGCGAGGUGGAGCGAACCCCUAAAAACGAUCUCAGUUCAGAUUGCAGGCUGAAACUCGCCUGCAUGAAGAUGGAAUUGCUAGUAAUCGCGGAUCAGCAUGCCGCGGUGAAUACGUUCCCGUGCCUUGUACACACCGCCCGUCACACCAUGAGAGCCGGGGACACCCGAAGUCGGUUGGGUAACCGUAAGGAGCCCGCCGCCGAAGGUGGAAUCGGUAAUUGGGGUGAAGUCGUAACAAGGUAACCAAGCC